GAUAAACGCUGGCGGCGCACAUAAGACAUGCAAGUCGAACGGACUUAACCAUUAGUUUACUGAUGGAGCGGUUAGUGGCGGACUGGUGAGUAACACGUAAGCAACCUGCCUAUCAGAGGGAACAACAGUUAGAAAUGACUGCUAAUACCGCAUAUGCCAUGAGUAUCGCAUGAUACAAAUGGGAAAGGAGCAAUCCGCUGAUAGAUGGGCUUGCGUCUGAUUAGAUAGUUGGUGAGGUAACGGCCCACCAAGGCGACGAUCGGUAGCCGGACUGAGAGGUUGAUCGGCCACAUUGGGACUGAGACACGGCCCAG
RNAcentral lists this ribosomal RNA (314 nucleotides) under uncultured bacterium. Its description in RNAcentral is "bacterial SSU rRNA". It matches the Rfam family "Bacterial small subunit ribosomal RNA", at positions 28 to 334 of the family's 1533-position model. The record is from RNAcentral.